RNAcentral lists this ribosomal RNA (441 nucleotides) under uncultured bacterium. RNAcentral's name for it is "partial 16S ribosomal RNA". It matches the Rfam family "Bacterial small subunit ribosomal RNA", at positions 338 to 795 of the family's 1533-position model. The record is from RNAcentral.
CCUACGGGAGGCAGCAGUGGGGAAUAUUGCACAAUGGGCGAAAGCCUGAUGCAGCAACGCCGCGUGAAGGAAGACGGUUUUCGGAUUGUAAACUUCUGUUCUUAGUGAAGAAUAAUGACGGUAACUAAGGAGCAAGCCACGGCUAACUACGUGCCAGCAGCCGCGGUAAUACGUAGGUGGCAAGCGUUAUCCGGAUUUAUUGGGUUUAAAGGGAGCGUAGGCCGGCUUUUAAGUCAGCUGUGAAAGUCCGCGGCUCAACCGUGGAAUUGCAGUUGAAACUGGAGGCCUUGAGUGCACACAGGGAUGCCGGAAUUCAUGGUGUAGCGGUGAAAUGCUUAGAUAUCAUGAAGAACUCCGAUCGCGAAGGCAAGUGUCCGGGGUGCAACUGACGCUGAGGCUCGAAAGUGCGGGUAUCAAACAGGAUUAGAUACCCUUGUAGUC